UACGCUGGAAAGCGGGUCUCCCUGUAUGGGGAUGGUGAAAGGCCCCGCCGACGGAGUAAGCGGCAGCUGUUAGAAAAUCGGCGUCCGUCAAUCUCUCAGGCCCAAAGAGACAGCAGGU
This 118-nucleotide non-coding RNA is filed under the name uncultured Litorimonas sp. RNAcentral describes it as "Glycine riboswitch". It matches the Rfam family "Glycine riboswitch aptamer", at positions 10 to 85 of the family's 94-position model. From Rfam's summary of the family: This family represents the bacterial glycine riboswitch. Glycine riboswitches usually consist of two metabolite-binding aptamers domains with similar structures in tandem. The aptamers cooperatively bind glycine to regulate the expression of downstream genes. Lineage: Bacteria; Pseudomonadati; Pseudomonadota; Alphaproteobacteria; Maricaulales; Robiginitomaculaceae. The record is from RNAcentral.